CCUACGGAGGGCUGCAGUGGGGAAUAUUGGACAAUGGGCGUAAGCCUGAUCCAGCCAUGCCGCGUGUGUGAAGAAGGCCUUCGGGUUGUAAAGCACUUUCAGUGGGGAAGAAAGCCUUGGGGCUAAUACCCUCGAGGAAGGACAUCACCCACAGAAGAAGCACCGGCUAACUCCGUGCCAGCAGCCGCGGUAAUACGGAGGGUGCGAGCGUUAAUCGGAAUUACUGGGCGUAAAGCGCGCGUAGGCGGUCUGAUAAGCCGGUUGUGAAAGCCCCGGGCUCAACCUGGGAACGGCAUCCGGAACUGUCAGGCUAGAGUGCAGGAGAGGAAGGUAGAAUUCCCGGUGUAGCGGUGAAAUGCGUAGAGAUCGGGAGGAAUACCAGUGGCGAAGGCGGCCUUCUGGACUGACACUGACGCUGAGGUGCGAAAGCGUGGGUAGCAAACAGGAUUAGAUACCCCAGUAGUC
This 465-nucleotide ribosomal RNA is filed under the name Vreelandella stevensii. Its description in RNAcentral is "partial 16S ribosomal RNA". It matches the Rfam family "Bacterial small subunit ribosomal RNA", at positions 338 to 795 of the family's 1533-position model. Lineage: Bacteria; Pseudomonadati; Pseudomonadota; Gammaproteobacteria; Oceanospirillales; Halomonadaceae. The record is from RNAcentral.